Molecule: long non-coding RNA, 27410 nt
Filed under: Xyrichtys novacula (pearly razorfish)
Lineage: Eukaryota; Metazoa; Chordata; Actinopteri; Labriformes; Labridae
Source: RNAcentral
UUUCAUGUUUUUACAUCUGGGUUUUGUGAUGUCUAAAUGCUGAUGUCACUUUUGUCUUUGUCUCCUACACACUAUAAGAGAGGAGCAUAGGAUUUCACCACAGCAGCUCAAGGCGUUAAAACAAUUGCAUUAAAAAGAACAUCAUUACAUCACCCAGAGUAUAGACACUCAUGUGUGAUUGUUAAACAAUUCAGCCCAAAACCAUAGGCAUUUAUAAAGCUUGAUACACAGCAGGGGGUUCCAGCUUAUUUCCAAGCUGUGGGAUGUGGUUCAGGUCAAAUCGUGUUCUUUCAAAACAAACUGUGAAAGUUUCAAACUCCAGUGCGAAAUUUAGGUAUAAACUUUCAUUAAAGCGAAAGAGUCAAAGAGGACAACACAACCUUUUGGACAAGGUUACACACAUGAACACAUUAGUGUAUCUGCAGCGCAUGUGAGGCAUUUUAAGGGUCUGAUUCAUAACCUUACCCCCCACUCGACUGCUGCAACCUCCAGGAUAAUGUCAAAACAAUAUAUCAGUGCAUGAGUCUGUUGAUGUUAAUUUAAUAUUACCAUUUAUAUUAGAUCACUUAAACAAUAGCUCACUCUUCCAUUUUAAAGUUGUGCAGGUCUUUACAGUUUACUGUCAUGGUUUUUUGGAUAAUGUAGAUGAACCAUUUGGAGCAACUCUCUGCUGCUCAGAGCUGCACUGUGCACUCUCAUCCUGACAGGUGUAACGGUUAUGCUGCUGCAGCAUCAUUCCACUUUCUUCCUCAGGUUUGCAUGUUGGGAUGCAUGCAGGACCUAUACCAAAUAGAGAAAGCAACCAAACAGAAACUCCUGAAAAGUGCAAAUGCUACUGCACUGUUUGAAGAUCCCUGGACGUCACUGAGUAAUCUAAAUCUAAAAGUUAUUGCUUGCCAUUCUGGCUUCAUAUUAAUACAAAACAAAAAGUAAUAAAAACCCUAACCCUAACCCUACAAUUGAGGAUAAAUGUUACUUUUUUGAACCUUGUACAUUUUUAGAUUCAAAGUGACAGCAAUUAAAAUGUCUUUGAGCUAAAUGUAGCUGCCAGAAAACAAUAAUGAUAACGAGAGAGGCCGGCUCUUCUGAUAGCAGCAGGGAAGCUCCCCUCACUCAGAAGAGGAGUCAUGAUUUACACCACACCCACACGACAGAUUCAUACCUACUGCUGUGACAAAGACAUGUAUCAUUUCUCACGAAUGUCUCUGCGACGUGUCGGCGGCUCUGAAUAAAAUAUCAGCCUGCAAAGAAAGCGUUGUCUGCUGUGUGCAUACAGAGCUGCAGAGCCAAUCCAAAAUCAAAUAAAUAUUUCUUUCACUUUCUCUACUGUCACUGUUUUUUUUUCCUGGAACUGAUUUAAAUUUUAUAGCUGGAGUGGUCUGUCUUUGAGCGCAGGAAGGGAAUCUAUACUAACAGAAGAAAAACACAAACCCGAAAGGCUUUUCCCAACCAGCCAGGUAAUCCGAAACAGUAGCGAGACCUUAAAACACACACACACAUAUACACACACGCACACACGAAGAAGGCUCACAAACUGGGUCAAUCAAUCUCACACACCCUCCACCUGAUUAUGGAGUGAAGUAGACCAUCAACACAACACACAGCCUCUCUGAGUCAGGUCUGCUGCCACAUCAAUCACCUGGGCCGGAGCCAAACCAAAUAUGAGAAAACAGAAUACCAUCAAAUUAGGGUUUGUUUUUGAACUUGCUAUAAGCACAUUUCUCUGGUUCUGCAGACGGCGCUGAGUGCCAGGAUCCGGUGGGGUGUGUUGGGUUACAUGCAUGCCUUUGGAGGCGGCCGCCCCCCAUAAUCUGCUUAAUGCCUCCGGCUUCCUGGGAUGUUAUUAAUUAAUAAGACUUACAAUCAGAGCUGAUUUCUGCAGAUGGCUGGCACGCUUGUGCCACUCCGCAUCAGUUCCUCCAGCAUUGCUUUUUAAUGCUUUUCAGUGAUGUCACCACCUCAUGAUUUCACACAGUUGUUACUUUCACUCACUUCAGUCAUUAGUUCGGAGUGGUUUCAAGUAACUCAGGCUCUGACUGGGACACAGGAGAGUUUCAAUGAGGAAGAAGAAGAAAUGAUCUGCUCCUGCCAAACCAGCUUUUGUGCCACAGUGGCAGAACAUUUGUAUAUAUCAGUCAUUGAGAAACUAAAUUUAGUACAAACAGAAUAAUUGUGGUGCUAUGUUUGUAUUUAAUCAAGAAUGAAUGAAUCAAAAAUAUCUUUUUUUUAAGAAUAGAUGUGUUAUGAUAAGAAAAAGGGGAUUUGGUAUGACACAGAAUUCACAUUGUGUCAGUCUAAGGUGGAGUGCAGUCGGCUGAGUGAUUUAAGUGCCAUCGCCCCACAGGUCUGGCUUUCCCAAGUAGGCUGCAGAAAAGCCACACUUCUUUGAUCGUCAUUAUGUUUCCUGGUUUGUACACUGUCCUAUCUGAUCUAGAAAAAGAUGGUCUUGUUGCCGAUGGUCUUCUUUUCUUUUGUACGUCAAAAAAGAUGUCGUGAAAUCGUUCAAUUCAAAAAAAUGUCAAAAAACUUCAAACAGGAGCUUUAAUCAAAAGGUGGGUAAUAAGGAGACAAAACGCUAAAGACAAAGUUUUUAAAUGCAAAACGUGUCGAAGUAAGUCUUGGAAUAAUUCAAAAAUACUGGAAUUCCCCUGUUAAAAAAGGUUUACAAUGAGUCACAUUUUUCCAAUCCAUGAUAUCAGAAAAAGUAUGUGACUGUGUUGUGCAAAUUUCAAAUGAACAGGACAAAAACUGUAAAUACCAAUUUGUCCACAAGGGGCGCCAAAAUCAACACAAACCUGAAGUUUCUUACUAGAGCUUUAAAACACAAAAUUCACAGGAAACAAACAUAUUUUUAUGAGAAAAAUGUUGUUAUUCAUUUUGAUGAAUUUAACCAUGGAGGUUUAAAGUCAUGACAUUAUGGUAUUGAUUUAAAAAUAUAUAUUACAAAUGCGAAUGAAGAUUAAAAAAAUAAUAAAAAGAUAUAGUCAUAAGUUUAUUAGAGUGGAAAUAUUAAAUUAACAGCACAAUACCGUUUUAAUUCAAAUGAAAUGACAAUAAAGCUGUGGCUAUAAGAGUAAAGCUGUAACAUGAAAAAUAAUAGCUUUCCUAUAAGUAGUAUUCAAAAUAAUGUCACUUAAUGAGAAAAAUUAUAACACUACAAGAAUAAAGUCAUAACUGGAUUGAAUAAAAACCAGAACUAUGUGAAUAAAAAUAAGUGCAGUAAUUGUUUCAUUAGAGGAAGAAAAAAAAGAAGUGCCACCACAAGCACUAUGUGAGUUUUUGAGACUUAAUGAAGAUUAUAAAGACAGUAUUUAAAGCAGCAUAACAUGAAAAGUUAAUUUAUGACAAAGAGAUUUGUUUUACAGCAAUCAAGUCAUAAUUUUCUGAAAAUACAGUUGUUAUAUCAUGAGUAAGUUGUUAUAAAUAAAGAAAAAAAAACACUCUAAUAUUGGGAUUUAUGAAAACUAAAAUUGCAUUUUGAAUACCAAAACUUUAACAAAAAGGUGGGGAUUAAAAGUCAAAAUGCUUAAAGUGAGGGAAGCCAUUUAAAAAAUCAUGCAAACAUAAGGCCCAGGUUUAAAAAAAACACUGAAAUGACCCUUUAAGAGAAAUGAAUCCCAGCUGUCACUCUCUGGAGGACAUGCUUAAAUGCCUCUGCUGAAGCGGGCUGAUAACACCAGCCCACACGUUUGAAAUGAUCGUGCAGGGUGAGGAGAGAAACAGUCUGUUAGUGCUGUGGGUGAGGCAGAACGAUCCCCCGCUGAGAUAAAGCAUGUCAUCUCACAUGUAGAGCGUCAAACUGCACGCCGUCUGUGUUCACGUGUGAUCCAUCAUCAACGGCAGCGCCAACAUCGACAGCUGCCAGAGAAAGUUCACUCUCAAUCAAUCCGCUCGAGUACUUUGUACAUUUCAGACGAGUAAAAAUAGACUGAGGCAAAGACGCUGAACAAAUCCAAGUCGUCACGUAACUCAUAUCAUUCAGACUUUUACAGUAAAGUGCUGUUAUACUUACUCUGAAUUCCUAUUAUAUCUUUGUAUAAGUGAUCAAAAUAUUAGACAUCUUGGUAGAAAGUUCCAGUGUUAGUACAAGAUUAGAGAAAUCUCACUUUUUAUAGAUUAUCUGCUAAUUAUCUGUGGCUUGGUCAGCAAUGUGCUUCUGUGAAAUUCAUGUUAAUUAGAAUGGCUGUAUCUCAGUUAAAAGCCAUUAAAGGAAAUACAUUAGUCUAACUAAAAUUGCACUUAAUCUAGUUUUUCAUUGCCUAAAACUAAGAUAAUGUGGUCAAGGAUCUAUUUUCUUGUCUGUGUAAAUGCCUCAAUCGGUCUCCAACUGGCCUUGGCAUCUUGUGCAUGUCUUAUAGUUCACAUGUCAGGCUUUGACCUGGAAGUUGAUCUGCAUGAAUAGGAAGCCAGGUAGUCAACAGAAUCUUAACAGAAGAAGAGGAAGAGACGUAAAAUAAGAAGAAGCUGUCUCACAGAGAGUAUAGAGCUGAAAAGUUGUUUUGUUUAAUAUUCACAAAUUUUGUUAGCUAACAUGUUUGUCAAUUGUUUUGGUAUGUGAAGGUCAUAAAAGGUCAACCAAAAGACAGGCCGGGACAACAAGCUGAAAGGAGGCGUGCAGCCAUCUACUUUGGAGGAGGCAUACAUACAUUUUUAUUUCUCCACUGGUGCUGUAGACUGGUAAAGGAGUGUCAUUAAUAAGUACUUGAUGGACUGUCUUCAUCUGACAUCAUAACAGGAUGGGAACUCAUAUAGCUUAGUUCAUAAACCGUAUAAACCUCAAUAUUCUUACCUGCUGUGGACAUUUCACAGCUUGCUAAUUAAUAAAACUUUGUUAGCCCUUGUUAAUAAAUUGUGAUUAAUCUUUAUUCAUUUCUCAGUGUUUUUUUUUUCUUUUUACUUUUUAAAUUAAAAUGACCAGGAAACUGAUCACUUCCAAACUGCCUUAUUGGCAAUGAUUCAAAUACAGAUCAACUCUGUUGCACCUGUACUAUAAACCAAACCCCAAAUUUUAUAUUUAAUAACUUUUAAACCUUUUUACGGAUAUUCACAAGCUGAGCUAAAAUCAGCUCUUUUCAUAUUUGGUUUCAUUUUUGAAGUUCUCACUGAAGCAGUGUCUCUUCUCUGAUGUUUUAUCAGCUGAGAGUAGUUCCUCCAGCUCUUCUAGUUCCAUUAUGUGAUUAAGUGGGUUUUAGUGUGCAUGUACUCUAUUUUUUUUACAACAGUGUCCACAUUUCAUCCUCUAUAUCUGUCAGAACUGGUCUGUGUUACUGGUUUAGUCGAGCAGUAGCAGGACAGAUAUGUUUGAAAUUUUGGUCUUUAUCUCUGUUUAUUUCUCAGAGAAACAUCAGAGGUUUUAAAAAUCUGCAGGUAUCAGCUUCCAUAGGGGGGCUGUUUCAGUAUCAGGUGUGAUAUCCAGUCUACAGCGUUUCCACUCGAGUGGAAUAUUUAAUGAGUUUGAUGUAUGGUGGGCACCCAUGCCUGUGCCUGUUUCCCCCCUGCAGAAAUGAACCCUGGGAUAGGUGUCACAUGUAGGGGGAAAAGGGUAGAUCUGCUCCUGAGAUCAUCAGAUGAGGGUCUCCAGGGUGCAGCAACCUGCAGGAAGGAGGCCGUAAUGACCAAACACGCUGCUGAUUGGACAUCUUGCAUGCAUUAAGGCGGGUUAGAUGAUGCACUGUGUCCUUCAGCCCCGGAGAUCCGAUAACAAAGCCGAGCUGUGCGGGGUAAGGUGAUCCCGGCGCGGGGCCUCGGCUGCAGGCCGCUGCCUCGCUCCCAAUGAAACACCUCUCUGUUCCAGUGCCGUGAAAGUGGAGACCUCGGGAUGCAACAAUACAGAGUAACAUGUGGAGAGCAGAGGAGGGGACGGAAGGGAGCUACUGCAGAAAAAAAAGGAAUCAAAAAUACCACAUUUAGAAUUUUAUUUAAAAAAUCCCCUUUAAGCACUCAAACGUCUCAUUACAGCAAAACCCAAAACUACAGUAGUACCUAAUAUAGGAAUUGUUGGUUUGUAAAAAUGCUCUUCCAUGCAUCUUUCUGAUUUGCGGUGCAUUCAGCAGUUUGCAAAGCGCCGACUCUGAGCAUGUGUAUCUCUUUUUAACGCCAUUUGUUUUCACCAUAUGGAAUCCCACCAGCUGCAUCCCUGCGAGCCAUGACUGCAGUAGUUAGUAAAGCUCAGUAUCUUUGAUGUUCCUGAGGCACUGCAAGUGAUCAAUUCACCUGGAGGCAUGCCACCUGUUUCUGCUGGUCAUGAAUAGGUUUAAAUUGGGGAAUUCAUUUAAACCAGCAUCUCAUAAAAAGUUGAUUUACUAUACAGUAUUUUUAUUUUUUUGUGCAUGGUUAUGACCCAAUGAGAACAGACGACUUAUGCUGGCAGUGCUAUAAUGAUAAACUCUAUAACAAAAUUUAUAGUUAACUUAAAAUUUAUUGUUAGAUAAAUUCAUUGGCUGAUAUUUUGCACCAUACUUCUUUCCUGGAAGUGGAUCACACUCCCUGAUUUCUACAUCACUAAGUUGCUGCUGUGCCGCCCUGCUAUGUUCACCUAAACCUCUCCCAAGAUCAGCAUCAGGAAUCAGAGCAUAUUAGUCAAUAAAACUUGUUUAUUCCAGAGAAAUGUCUUUUGUUUAUGUAUUUUUUAAUUUAAUUUUAAUUUAGUUUCACUGAGAGGAAAAAGACUUUCAAAAUAAGGUUGAAUGUUUCUGCUGUGUGGCGACAGAUGGCAUGUUUUUCAGUCUGACCUGAUGGAUACUGUUCAGUUCACAUAAGUCAUACAUCUUCAUUUGUUCACUUUGAGUUCUCGGUGAUAAAUGUGAUUACACUUUAAUAGUAUUACUUCACAUGCUCAUUUUCUACAAACUUACAGGGACAUUAUUUAGGAAUUAAGAAGGGUUACCUCAUGUUUUUGGUAAAUGACUUAAAAAUAAACGUCCUAUUUUAGUCCAGCUGUGCUUAGACUGAGUAUGACUCUUUGUUUCUUGUCUAACUCUGUUAUUUGGUUUUACACAGGAAAAGAGAAGAACUGAGUCUGGAUAUAAAGUUUAUUAGGAAUGAUGUGGAUUGGAUUCCUCUUUUGCAGCAUUAAAAAGUUUAUUCUAUUAAAGUUAAUGAUUUUGUACAUUUGUUGCCUCUAAACCAUGAGUUGCAGCGCAGACGGUAACAUUUCAGUAAGCAAAGAAAAAAUUCUGAAUCUUGUAAACCUUUUUCACAUUUGAACUCCUGUAAAUGUGUGGACUGCUUAUCCUCACAUUUCUGCAUCUUAUAGAAGCAUGACAUUUUCCCCAUUAGACAGAAGGGCAGAAAUGAUGUGAAAGACAUCAUCAAUGUCACUGUGUAAUGAUUUCAAGGAUGGUGGACAAGACAGAGGACAACACUAUAAUAAAGGUCUUUUUUUUCCUCUUUUUUUUCACUUUCUCGUGAAUCUUGUGAAUUACGUUAAAUGGAACUGGAAGUAUUCACUGGAUCAACAAAUAUAUUUUUGAGUUUUCUGACAAAAAAGCUCAUCCUGAAGACUUUUGAAUGUAACCCUGACCCUAACAUUAACCCUAAACCCUAACCCUUAUUCUGACCCUAACACUAACGCUAACCCUAACACUAACCCUAAACUCUUAUUCUGACCCUAAACCCUAACCCUAAACCCUAACCCUUAACCCUAAACCCUGACACUAACCCUAAACCCUAACCCUUAUUCUGACCCUAAAUCCUAACACUAAUGCUAACCCUAAACCGUAACCCUUAACCUAAGCCCCAACCCUAAACUCUAAACCCUUAUUCUGACCCUAAACCCUAACCCUUAACCCUAACACUAACCCUAACCCUGAACCCUAAGCCUAACCCUAACUCUAUGUGGUAAAAUAAAUACAGGACAUUUUCUUCAUUUCCCUCAUUUUCGAAAGGCGUCAGUAUGAAUUUCAGUGUACAUCAUAAAUGUCUAAAAUCUCCCCACAUGAGCUUAAAUACUGUUUUUUUUCCCUCAGAAUGACACUGUUUGAUAAAAUUAUAUUUAAAACUUUGAGUCAAAAGAUUGCAUAUGCAUCAACCAUGUGCCAAAUUCUGCAUAAAUGACUACCACGGAGAACCCUCUUACCCCUUAAAUCCUACAGAGUGCAUGUGAGCCAUGGCCCAUGUGUAGACUCCUGCCCGUGUAGCUUUAUGGACGACAAAUACUCAUUGAUGAUUUAUUGUUAACACAAACAACCUCAUGUCCUUUCCCUGACCAUUUUGACCAAAACAAGACUUCCAGCUGCUGACUUUGACUGCAGGAAACAUUUUUUUCUUUCUUUUUUUGUAAUGGAGAAAACUCAGAGCUGUUUGAGGGAUUGUGUUCCCCUAAGGCUCUGAUAUAAACUUCCAAAUUCAGAGCAAAAGUCAAUAUUCAGAAAUUAGGUUUUUAAACUCCUAAUCUUGGUGUAAUUUUUCUUCACACGGACUUAAUCCUCCUAAAAGUAAUGCAAAACUAAGCACACGCUGCGGGUUAUGCAUUGUACUUGUUCUCUCUUCACUCUUACCGAGGCCCUGAAAGCAGUCACAGCAGACAAAACCUGCACCGCCACCAGCCAACAACACUCACAUCUCUGUUUUUGUCUCAGACCCGGUGUCCCUGCAGCCUGCACAGAUGGAUGACGGUAUUAUUUCUGAUAGAGAAAACAAAAGCUCCAUCUUUUUAAAGCCGUACAGCGAGCUGGCAGCACUUUCCACCCAGCAGCACUUUGGUUUAUAUAUAUAUAUCGACAUUUUUAUACCCAACAAGAUCAUAUCUACCGCUUACAACAACAGUGUGAAUUACGAGGCUCUACUUUAUAUGGAGGCUGUCGUGUGAUGACAUGCGUGGGAAAGACAAAUGGCGGCGUACAGUUCUCAUUCAGCCACAAGGAGAAAAAGGAACGUGCGUCUGGCCAUUAAUUACGUGGCGAGGAGCAGCAGAUUCGGUUUUCGGGGGAACAAAAGGUGUCUUUUGGGGAGAUUUGUCUCUUGGCUCUGAGCUGACUUCUUUGCAAAGAUCUAUUGUUCUGCUACAGAGACACAAGAGGCUCACUGAGACCAACAGACCCCCCUCCCCUCGCCUCAAAGAGCUGAAUGAUAAGUAAGUGGUCUGCUGCAACGCCACCAGUUGAUCCGAUACAAAGCACGGUCUGUGUGAUGGUGUUUCUUUGUUUUAUAUUAAAGAGGAGUUAAAGACGGCGCUAAUGCUGCCGAGUUAAAAAGUACAGAGGAAAGUCAGAGAAACUCCACUUCUUAAAUCUUUACAUGCCCCUCCAUGUUUAGUACAUCAGUUCUUUGAGCUUUGUUCACAUAUCCCAUCACAAAACUCCUGAAAAUGGUCCAAAAUUUACGGAUCCAUCUGCAUGUGUGAAUGCAAACAGCUAAUCAUGCUCCAGAGUGCAUGCAGGACUUUAUCCCAAAAGUUGAAUAGCAUAAAAGCUCUGUUUUAGCAGGUGAACAUAAAAAAGAGAAGAAGAAAGCAUGUUAGAAAGUUGGGGAAUUUUCUUAAGUCUGACUACAGUAGUAAAUAUUUUAAUAAGGCAGAAACUGCAACCUGGUCCUCCUCAUGGUCAAGCGCCACCAGACAUGACCUAUGUUUGAGAUCUCCAUUCCUGACCUUACUCUUUACCUUGAACUCUGUGCAUAUUUAGGGGUGAAUUUGUGUCGACGUGAUGAGUCUAUGACCCCUGCCAACAUGAGAAUGAUGUUCUUUGUAUCAUCAGAUCAUCCUAUUAAGACUUGACAAUUAACAAACAUUUGAUAAAAACUUGUCACCGUUGGUUCUGUAACGUAAAGGUUCGAUGUAAGGUGGUUGGAUAAUUCUAAUGAUGAGAAACAGCAGGAUGGAGAAGGAUAACUUUCUUAGCAGCAUUUUCACUCUUCAGCCAUCUUGUCAUGAACCACAACAUAUAACCCCCAAAAACUUAACAUCCUGGACAACCCUGAUCACAUGACACAGCACUUACAAUCAGAGGCUCGGACCUCAAAAUGAAUGUAAAUGAACCUCAGAGACACAUUCUGCAUAAUCUGCUAAACCUAACAAACAGCUGCAGAGAAAAACAUUUAAACAUGUAAAUAUGAACCUGUCGACACUUUGAGAAUAGUUCUCUGUAUGAAUUCUAUAAACACAAUUUUUUUUUUAGCUUAACUUAGAGACAGUUAACUGUAAUAGUUAACAGAAAUAUAUGAAUUGACUUCACUGUUAAGGAUUACAGUUACACAACUUUAGAAAGGUACCAAAUGAAUAAGGCUGUGUUCACACUGCAGGUCAAUUCUGAUUUUUUUAUAUGUGUCACAUAUCUGAUUUUUUCAUGUAAGUGUGAACAGUGCAAUUCUGAUUUUUUUUUUUUCAAAUCCGACCCAGGCCUCUUUCUUAUGUGAAUAUGAAUUGGAUAUGUAUCCGAUGAGACUGCAGUGUGGAUGCUCAGGUCGUAUUAAUCCGACCUAUGCAUCAUCAAUAUGUGACAAACGUCACGAUUGUUCAACAACACAAACAGGCGCAGAAAGUAAUGGUGGACGAGUAAACAGAGAACAGCCAGUGGCAAAAAGAAGAAACAUUAGACUUGAUAAAAAAUAUGGGGAGACCGGUCAGUUCAAGCCAAAAUAGAGGGCUCAUACCGUAACCGGGCGGUGUUCAAGGAAUUGGCCGAGCGAGGCAUCAAGUGUUCCUGACUGCAGUGCCAUCUGAAAAUGAAAAGCCUUUGCUCUUAAUAUAAAGAGACAAAGGACAUGAACCAAAGAAGCGGACAUGGUCGUGUAACCUGUCCAUUUUAUGAAGAGCUGGAUAAAAUUCUGGGUGACAAACCCAGCUGUCUGCCUUUAGAGCUGCUUUGUGCGCAUGCGGGUCACUCCACGGACGAAUUCCAUUUACAUUAGAUGCCGCAUUCAUUGUUGUAAUGUGAACAACUGCACAAAAAGACUUAACAAAAAAUCCGAAUUGUGCAUCAUAACCUGCAGUGUGAACGUAGCCUAAGUGUGCCCUAACCCUAACCUAUAAAAAAAGCACUACAACCCUUAAGCCAAAAUAGAUGCAUUUUCAAAAAUGUGCAUUUAUGUCAUUAGAUUAGAUUAGAUUAGAUUAGAUUAGUUAUUCCUUUACUCAUCCCUCAGUGGGGAAAUUACAAUUGUUGACAGCAGCAGUACACACAACAUACACAUUCACACCGGGUACAAAAACAAAUAACUGAAGAUAGAGGAACUGGUGUAAAACAGAAAGAGACAUAUUAACGUCAUUCAUACAACAACAUACACACAGACAUCUCACUGUACAUGUCUUAAAAAUGACUCUCACUCAGCCUCUGAUGUUUUGAUUCAUCCUAGUUAGGCGUUGCUUUUUGGGUUCACACUCGUCACACAGUAUAAACUUCAUCACCUCCUCCACAUGCUCGAGGUGUAUUCUUGCAGAAAUUUUAACAGGAUCCUGGCAGGAAAAAGUCUUAUUUGCACUUUAACGCUUCAAUAUUUUCAACAGUUUUGUACAUGAAUGAAAACAACACCUGUAAAAACAUUUUAUACGUGUUGUCUCGUGUAAAGUCUGUAUGCAGUUAGCAAAGACAUUCACGAUGAAGUGUGUGCACUCUUGGCAUUGUGCUGCAGCUUUCUGCAACCCACCCCUUCAAUCCCACAGACUCCUCAUCCAGGAACCCCCCACCCCUCUAACCUCCCUCCCUGCCUCCUCCUCAUCCUUCCCAGCCAGCUCCUGGCUGAAUGAAAGAGAAAAUAAAGAGAUCUAAAUGUCAGCGGGGAGCUGAGUGCAUUCCUCUCGCCGUGUCCCGAGACCGGUCACCCAGAACAACUUGUGAUCCUGGGACAAAGCUGACGACAGCAGGUGGCCAUAUAAAGAAAUUUUGCUCCCAGAAUUAGAUCUUAUCCCAGGGAAGUGCCAUUGAGUCAUAGAUAAUACCCCCACACCCCCCAUCCUGCUGGGUCCACAAGGAUUUUCAUUUCAAUUUCUUUACACAACGAUGCUUUUCAUCUUGACCAGGGUGAGAUGACAGUGCUGCAGCUAUGAAAUAAAUGGGAAGCAGUUGAAAGGCAGAAUUAUCCCCCAGACCUGCAACAUUGCCUGGAAUGCCCCACUGUUUCCAUUCAUGUUCAUUUGUGACAUUCUCAGAGGCUGCACACACACUGUAACACACACUAACUCUCUCUCUCACACACACACACUCACCGAGAAAGUCACGCAAAGCAAGAGGCAGAUAAAAUCAGACAGGAGUGGUACCUAUCUGCACACGCGCACACACAGACACACUUACACACUUUAAUCCAAACAGGGCUGGUAUUUUAUAAUUUCAUCUCCUCCGUCUCUUUGCCUUUUUCCCAUCGCCUGUUUUCUAGGGGGCAUAUAAAUGAUGCAUGAGGACGAAAAUGUCACCUCCAAAAUAAAGAGAAAGCAAUUUUGUCACACAGAAAAUGGUUAUUUCCACCUUUUUCUUCCAUGUUUGCAGCUUUGUGGCGGUAAAAUGCCAGCUGUUACGCUGAGCUGUGAGGCUCAAAGUGUUAGGCGAAGGAAACACAUAAUCAAAAGAGGUACGACAUGAUGAUCACAGGCCAGGCGAUGGUUUCCAAAGGACCAAAGUCCGGAUAUCAACAGAUUUAAUCAAGGUGUUACAAGUGUUGGUGUCAGUCUUUAAAGGGAUAUUUCAGUAUUUUUAAUAUCAUUAAUGUUAGUCAACUCAUUGCCUUUAAUUUGAAGCUGCUGGGGUAACUGGCACGCAAGCUAGGCUACAGUUUUCUGCAGAUAGAGCAGACUCAGUUUUGAGAGACUCUGACUCAGAUACUCAUUUUGAUUGAAGUGUGCAUUCUACCCAGAAAUUUUCCAGCACUUAACUUCGCCAUCAGAAAGCCCAUUUGUUCUUGCACUAUCUAUAACCCAGCAUAUCUAGCGUCCUCUUUCUGCCGGCAUCCAUUUUGGCAGGUGCAUUUCUUCUUGUGACCCCUCAUUCUGCUGCUGAAAAAAUAUACAUCUGAUCCCACUAGCUGUGCACAGACAAGCAGACAUAAAACUGUGUAUAAAUGAGAGGGAAGAAAAGGUCCCAUGUCACAACUUUCAGGGUUUUUAGGAUUUGCUGCAAACAUCUUGGUGUCAUGACCCACAAUGUACUGUCACGAUUUUAAGGUAAACAAAAAAGAAAAGGACCCAAAAUCCAGAACACAAAAAAUGAUUUCAUGAAAAAAAAACUAAAACAACAAAAACUUUCUCAAAAACAAAAUAUCCCAAAUUCAACAAAGGCACUGGGGGAAAAACCACAUGUAGACACUAGAGACACUGGCGCGCACACACACACACACACACACACACACACACACACACACAGUGGGGGCAAUAUUGGUCUUUUCAGCUGUGCUAUUUCUGACCCCAUACAACCGUCAACAACAACAGUAGGUCCGUGUCAGACGUCAGAAGUGGCUACAAUUGCUGCUAGGCAUUUUCGAGCAAGAAGAUGGAGCAUCGUACAGUGUUGACUUUGAUGUACAUGAUGUGUGCACUACGUUUUCUGCAGAUGAGAUGCACGCUACUCCUAUUAUGGGGGCAUGGCGCAUGCGCACAAGCAUUGUCCAAUCAUACUCCAACUAAGUUACAUGGUAGAGAAAAUCGAAUUUCAAUUGCAUUAUCUGGGUGUCUUAAUUAGAGUUCUCAAACUCUGACUAUAGUCGGGCUAAGGUGUUUACAUGCACUUUAGUUGUCCGGUCUUAAUCUGAGUAAGACAAAAAUUUGGUUUGCUCAAGUGUCACGUAAACAUACUGACAGACAUUCAGAACCAACAAAGAAACAGGGGAAGACAAGGACUAUAUAUACACAGGGAAACGAGCAACGAGAGGCAGGUGAGAUGCUAAGAUGCAGACAAUCACAAAAGAAGGAAAACUGAGGAAGUAAAACAAGACAAGAAACACAGGUAAUAAGCUACUACAAAAUAAAACAGGAAACACUGAAAACUGAUAAUAGAGAAUAAAACACUGAGAACAUGAGGGAACCGUGGUCAGACACAAAGUGAAAACUCACAAGACAAGACCACAGAAGAACAGGAACAAUAGGAAACUGAAUCACCAGGGAAAAUACGAAGAAAAUAUACUCACAAUCACAAGACCAGGGAAAAACUAAAUCAAACAGAACGUAUCAUGACACAUACUUUUGGAGGUCUUAAGGAAUCCACGUCUAAGUCAGAGUCACCCCAACCUGAUUAAUACUUUGGCACCAACAAUGGAAUCCAGUGCAUGUCAGUAGGAUUGUGGAUUUGGGUCUUAAUAAAACGGAUUUACCUAUAGAAUAUAGCUGUGUGUAUUCAAAUUAUCAUCCCAAAGUUAAAGAUAGUUUGUUUGACUCAUAGAACACGCUCCGGGAGUUGCACUUCACCUAUAAGGUUUCUCAUGUAGAUUCCGAUCCAUGUUGAAAACUGAAAACACACUGUGGAGAAAAAGAUCAAUCAGGACUCCCUCACAGGCUCAUCAGUGUAAUUUUUCAUGGUAGGCAGCACACGGGGCCUCUCCGCUUUCUCCUUUCUGUUUUGACGUUCCUUGAUUCCUCCAAGUAGCCGUUUCUAUUUUUUGAUCCGCGCCCAUUUUCCACCAUGACUCCCCAAUUUACACAACAGGCAGACAACUUGUGACUUCACCCAGCAAGACCAAAGUGAAUAUUUGAAAAGCUCAAAGUUCGGUUUCAUUUUUCUGAUGGAUGGCUUCACUGGGAACUGUAAACUGUGGUUUUGAAUCCCUUUAUGCGCUGAAAGUGCAGUUUGAACUCUAAACUGCGGAUGACUCAUAACCUAAAAGGCAUGUUGGGGAGAGUGUUAAAGCUCGCUGCGAGUUUCUUCUAGGGGCGCUUUAACAAAUAGGACUGUGCAUUUCAGUUUUUCACUCAGACUUCACGUCAUCAUGUUCAUCCAGGUCCAAGAAAACGCUUUAGACCUCAGCUCCAGCUCCAGUCUCAUGGAAAAAAUUAUCAUGUUUCACUCAAAGUAAGGUUUACCUCAAACGCAACGCCAGCCAGCCAACUUUAGAUACGCACGCAUGUGUAUGAUAUUAUGUGGCUUUGACAUGGCUUUGACUUAAAAUACAUCCAACCGCAAUAUGAAAAAAUGUGCAUUGCUACUGUAUGGGUUCAGAUUUAUUCUACAGUGAUGGGAUCAUCAGUUUUCUCCAGCAGGAUAGAUAAAAAUUAGCAUAAAUAACAUUACUGACAGUGGUACUUACAGUAUAUGAGCCCAAACCAUAGCGUUUUUUUCCACAGUAUCUCUAAUUACAAAGCUAAGCAUUGAAAUGCUUCUUUUCAUGCCACUUCUUCAUGUAGAUCCUGGAAGUUCAGGGUUUUUGCACUGAUGGACUCGACAAGUCUUCAAUUUAAAGAGAGGAAAUGAAGCGAUGAGUCACCACUAUGAAAUCUUUUGUUUACUGUGAACUUUUUCAGCCAUGCAUUAUCUCCUUUUACCCGACUCGCUUAUUACCUCUGUCUCCCGUCAGUCCAGUCUUCCAGUUCCUCCAUGUACCUCUGCAUGUCCCAUUAUAUGAAGAUACAGGGAGGGAUUUGACUGCCACAUCAGCGUCAUGUGUAACAAUUUAUAACUUCAUACAAUGUUUGUGUAGAAACCAUAGCAUCUGAAUUGGAGUGUAAUAUAUCAGCAUUAAAGCGGAUAUAAUGUUGUGCAGCAUUUGAAUAGAAGUCUGUAAAAGUGAGGAAACGUUAGAGAAGACAUACGACUACCGAGGAAGAGGAUGAGAGACAGUGGUGACACCAGAAAUGUCCACCACCAAACAAGCAGACCAGUCACUGAGUUUGCAAUCUGCACUGUUUCAACAUGUAGGUACCAUAGACCGUAUAUAGAAUGGACGCCGUCUGCCUCCUCGCUGUGUGAAGCCACUCUGAGAACAGCACCCUCUGGUGACAGGCUGCAGUAUAGGUCAUAAAUCCCGCCUCUGCUAGCAAAGCUUAUGGAGCUGUGGACAAACUUUUGAAAUUUAUCAAACAGAAUAUAAAUUUUUCUCCCCCCUGCUUGCGAUGUUGACAUGUAGUUACUGUCAGAUUAGUUUGUGCUCAAGUCCUCUUUUUUCUGUACAGCUCCAUUUCUAAAAGUUAUUAGGGGGUUCAUGUUUUCUAUGAUUGACACCUGAUGCAGCCUAUGGGCAUAUGAAGAUUGUGUAGCUCACCUGGGAGAGACGCUGUUUGAGCCAAGCAUCAUCACAGCGACUCUCUGCGACUCUCCUGCCGAAUGUGUACAAUGCUACUGCGCAAGGGGGGAAGUGCAUGCAACACGACUGCGCAAUGUUGGUUUUUGGAAAUGGAGAAAAAUUGCCGAAAUACCAAGAGCUUUUCGGCUUCAAAUCCCUAUACUGGCUGAAGGCAUAACCAAGUUGUCCACAGUAUAUACAGUCUAUUGUAGUUACAUUUUGAGUCAUUAUGUUGGAGUUGUCCAUCUGUGAAAACGGCUGGUCUCACAAAGGGAGUGGAUUUUACAACAAGUUACUGGAGCUGAAACUUUUCAAGUUUAAUUGCUAAAGCCCUGGUGGUAAGAUAGUCCCACUUUUUUCAGGAAAAAGUCCUAUAUUUAGGUCAAAAUGGAAAUUCAAUUAACCAAGAUGCAUGUCAAAUGCUGUAAGUAUCACAUAAGGAAUACAAGUCUUUUAUGAGUGUAAACCAGUGGCGUGUGGAUGCAGUGGGUGUCCAAAGAGCAGUGUGUCAUGCAUGGUUUCCCUCCUCUCCCUCUCCUCCCGGUCACGCGGGGCCUGAGCCAGCCAAUCUGCUAUCACAGCCUCACCUUCCCUGGAUCAUUUGCUGGCUAACACCUGAUACUUUCAUGUAGCUAACUCACUGGCUGCCCACAAUUGCCUUGCCAAAUGGCCUGAGACCACCUAUUCUGCCGGUCCCCAUUGUGGAUCAGUUGAACCCCGUCCAGGAGCAAACUCUGCCUAAUUGACCCCAUAUGUUCCCUCAGAGUUCAGAUCCACCCGCUGGCCAUAUCUAUGCUUCAGCACCAAGAGCUCCUAAACGCAGACUGCUCAGGUGUACAGGCUCGGCCAUCAAAGACAAAGAUGGUGCCGAUCAGAAGAAACCGGACCAGAUGAAAGCCGUCAUGUUUUUGUGGCCCAAAGAGAAAAUCACAGUUGAAGUUGAAAUCCUGCAGCUCAUUAUUGUGCCUAAAUACCGUUUCACGCCUGAAAUCAGCAGAGUCAUUUCAAACGAUGAAAAGGCAUGAAAUAUUUAGUGACUUUUGAAUGUGUGGAGGGUUUCCUUGUCGGUACAGCAUGUUCUGCAGCCGGUGCUGUGUUCAAAGGCCUGAGUGGCGAGGGGCCUUAUAAAGACGAGUCUGGCAGGGAGCAGGGACAAGCAGCAGUUGGCAGGACUGCUGGGAGUCAGCGACUAUUGGCAGAUGCACAGUGUGGAGGAGCUGCUGCUCUGUGUAGCCUUCACUUCCAAUUGUUAUUUAUUUGCAGGUUGUUAAGGGGAAUUUGUAACAGCAAUCUGGGACACCUGCUAAUAAACACAUUUCUAUUUUGUCGCUCUGUACAGAACAAAAACAGCUUCAACCAACAUGAGAAAGCUUUACAUUUGCACUCGGAGAGGGAGGUCUUUCCUUAGGAUAAAAAAACAACAUCCUGCACACAGGGCAUCAUGUGUUUUAUAUUGCUGGCAGCAGAAAAAGCCAUGUCUUUGGCAGGCACUAUCAAAAAUCUACAAGGCUUACAUUUUGUUGGUUGAACCAUGAAAAUCUUAUUUUCUGAAAAUAACAAAGAAAAAACAAAUCUGCCCAUGAGGUUAAAUCCUUCCACCUGUUUCCAAUACUUCCAUUUCCCUGAAUCGUAGCACUAUGAUCCAGUUUCUACUGUUUCAUUUCGACACAUUUAGAAAACUAAGAGCCUGGGUUGGAUAAAACAGCAUUCAGAGCGAUGCAAAUGCACCAGGCUUUUAACUAGAAAAGACAUUUGCUUAAUUUUGUUCAACUUUUGAGAAGAAAUUCCAGCUUAAUUCAAAAUCAGCAAUCCAUUAGUUUGCUUUAACAGCUUUCUGAUGUUCUUAAAAGGGAUGAGGAUGGAAAUCCGGCAUUUUCUAAAACCCGCAAAUCAGUGUUCGGGGCUUAUUGAUUCUGGUGCAGUCUUAUGUGGGUCCCGCGGUUCAAGGUUAUACAUCUUGAGUCGAGUAAUGUCAUUUAAAUCUGAUUACUGGUGGACAAACAUACAACCACAAUUCCCCAAAAGUUGGGACCUUUCUUAAAAUAGCUGCGUAAAAAAAUCAACAUUGUGCACAAAAGGAUUGAAGCACAAGAAUCAACAUCAGUAGUGCAUUUGCUAAUCUGCUUCAAAAUAAUGUCAUACAGUCAACACAUGUAACGACAAAAUAUUAAUUAAUUAAUUUGUCACCUUUUUAAUUAUAUCAGCAGAAAUUUACACAUAUACUAUAAUAUUUAUAAACACAGUUGGUCACUGCAUCAGCAAAUGUAAAAAGGAAACCAUAUAUGUGCAUGAUCUAGAAAUGCAGACAACUUCUCAGGGCCUGAGCCUUUUAGGGUACCACUCUUUAAUCUAUAUAAAGUUGAUCCAGAAAUGCAUAGAUCUGUUUGGGUGGAAUUAAAGUCAAGUAGAAAACUGUCCUGUGGUCAAAAAAAUUAAAAAUUGUAAAUUUUUUUAUGAAAUUAUGAAUGCCACAACCACCACUCUAAACUCUGCAUAGACCAGAUCCAAAAACACAUGAAUGGAACUGAAAUUGGAAAACUGUGGAGCUGAAAUUGGUUUCCAAUUUCAGCUCCGAUCACUGAAAUUGAUCACAAGCGUUCAUAACUUCAGCACAGAUUGAUCCGUGCUGGAAAGGAAGUUGGGCAAGGACUCUAAGUAAAACAUCCGGCUUCUUUUCAAAAUAAAACACUCUGUGUGUCAGGUGGAUCGUAUUACAUACCAUGCAAAUGGGAUGAACAAGUGAAAGGUUUAUAGACAGCAAUUCAUCCUGACGACACCAUGGAUAAGGAGAUGCUGAUUCUAGAAGUCUAGAAGUAGAUUUCCUCCUCUGGUAGGACACAAUCUACUGCUUAUAUGGUUAGCCUAUGUGGCUAAAGACAACUUGUUGUUGCACAGUGUGUUCGACCCCAACUUAAUUUUACGCCGGAAUAUCCCUUUAACAUCAGUUUUGAGACUCAACUCUGAAUGAGAAAUAAAGUUCAUGGACUGAUUUAUGUCAUGUUAGAUCUUGGUGUAUCUUAAGGCCCUGAAAUCCAAGUUAAUGACUUCCUGUUAUGGAUUUUAUUUACACCAAGUCAACCAGAAUAACAUAAACAAUAUCCACUCAGCCAGAUUGUGGUUGCCUCCUGCAGCACACAUGAUGUCACUGUGUUUCAUGACCAGAUUGUUCCUCAUGUAUGUCCAGCUGUAGGCUACAGAAAAACACUGCAGUUACUUACCAAACUUGGUCGAGUACAGGAUGAAAGGCCGCCACUGACAGAGAACAUAACUCAUAAAAACACCCGAGUAUACAGAACACCCGUCAUCAGGUUGGUUCUUUAUUUAUGUUAAAGCGACCAUAAGGGGUAUGCCAUGUGUGUGGGAGCAAGAGACACAACUUCAAAAUGACCCACCAGUGCACACAAACAGCUUGGCCUCUGUGGCAAACCUCCCAGAGUGCCGGAGGAGAAAACCAAGUUUGCAAAAUAGCCGCCCGUCCAACAAACUGCGGCACAGACAAUCUGGAACAAAUUGUGAUCUAACUGUGGCUGGAAUCUGAAAGAGCUGCCUGUGAAAAUAUCUGCAGCUGAGGGGGGAUCUCCGCCGGCAUGAGUGUCUGAAUCUCUGAGUCAUAGUAUCACUUCGAACUGUAAAAAGAAGAAAAAGAAACCCUGAAGAGAAAGUUGUUUAAACAGGCUGUAUAGAUGCAGUAGAUUAAAACACAGCAGAAGGCCCACAACAUUUAUCACCCUUCAGAUUUAUUGUCUAACCUCAUUAUCAAUCCCUAUUAUCCAUCACUGAUAAUUGAAUCGAUGUAAAGUGAAAAUAGUGACCAUCUUUAGGGAAAUAAGCUCAUGUAGCAGAAACUCCAGAUACUGUUAUUUGACUGCCACAUGACAAUCAUGAGAAUGUGCUUCGUAGCCGUUUCCAUCAAGUGUAAUGUUGUUGUAGCGGCCCUGAGCAACAAAGCGUGCAGAGAUUUAAUUGCAUUACCACAUCCCACACAAGUAAUGGUCCAAAAUGACUCCCAAAUGAGUUGCAACAUGAGGCUCCACGAGAUUUGGAGUCUCGGAAAGGAGAUUAGAGGGAAGGUGUUAACCAACUGGUUUCUGGAGAAAUUACAGCUCACAGAAUGUGCCGGGGACUCGUAAAGAAUUCAGAGCUCUGUUUUCAACAUGAUUUAACCAGACAUUACACCAAACUGUGGGCUUUGAAGUGGUCGUAAUGAAAUCAAAUAAAGUGGCCAUAUUUGAGGUUUUUAGCCUUGCUUACAUGGAGCUGAAGUAUUGUGCCCCAUUUUAAUCUGUCCAGACUGUUCCCUUUUACUAUCCACACUCACAAUGCACUGUCAUUGGUGUUUCGCAUAUACUGGCAACGUCAAGAGAGUUGUGGGUUCCCCAAAGCGCCUCCGCUUUUUUGGAUUUGUAGAUAGUAUCAAAAUAAAGUAGCUUGUCACAUGGAUCUGUGACUCUUUGUUCUUCAACAUUGACCAUACAUUGAAUGGAUACUGCGCCUCCAUGCACCACGCAUGAAGAAUAGAGACGCCAAAACACCCCUCUGAUAGGUACUGACAUGUUAAUCCAAAUGAAAUCAUGUUAAAUCUAGCAUACCUUGUUCAGCCAGUGUUGCUAACUUCGCGGUACGGAAAGUCGCAAGUAGCUAUCCUAGAAGCCGCUACAUGAUAUCAUCGCCUCGUUCCCAUAACUUCCCAUUUGCGUGUAAUUGUGAUUUAUCAUGACACAUACAAUUUUACAUCUAAAUUUACAGGAUUUGACGGCGGUGGGUUUGCAAAUGCGUGAUUCCCUUACUGUUCUACUCUGGCAGCAGAGGGACUGCUGCGCUAGCGAGGUGGACCCUUCCCUCUGUGAGUAUUUGGAACAAAGGAGGGGUUUACGGCAGCACCUGCUGCUUGCUAAGGAGAGUAAGAUCGAUACAUGCUUUCAUGUUGGUGACUCCAAGCUCCAGAAAAAGUUGCAAGAUUUAUUGCUAGUUGCUUAUUUGAAAAAGUUGCUAACGAUACUGACAAAGUCGUUAAGUUGGCAACACUGCAUUCAGCUCGGGAUGGAUUUUCUUGUGUAUGUUUGCAACUCAUCCAACCCAAACUGUCCAAGGUGUUUGUCUCAGUGUAAACAUAUGAAAUCACACGCCAUCCAGACCAAAACCGUUUGCAAACCAUACAGUAAAUAUGUUCAUUUUUAACAUUUUAACAUGGGUUUAAAUGGGACUCACUUGGUUUUUGGAGUCAGCCCCAAGUGGACACUCGGGGAAACUGCACUUUUCUGGCACUUCUGUGGCAUUAUCUCGAAGUUGCACCUUGCUUCUAUUCGGGGACAGACGUAGGAGACAAAAUGGUGUUCAAUCCUGAUUCAUUUUAUAUCUCAAUGAUUUGAAUCAUCUCUGGUAAUCAACUUGUCUUCAACUGUCUUGCAAGGUACCAUUUCUGCUGAAUUUAAACCAUGAAUGGACUUCACUUCAGUUUUGUAGAUCAGAAGUGAAGCUGAUGAGGAUUGGUCAUGUGAUCUUCCUUGGUGACAGGUACAAAUUGAGGUAUGAAUAUUGGCUAUAAUGUACAAGUUACAAAUUCUCUUCAGGGUCAAAGAAGGCCCUAUAUACUGGAGGUGUUUUUGGGGCUGUUUUUGUUUUUUUCUUACGAUGGGAGUUUUUGGUUUAAGCACAUUUAAUAGCACUCAUUUCCAUUUAUCUCUGCUGAAUGGGGCUAGAGUAGGCAUUUUAGAGACAAAUAUUCUGUGCCUUGGCAAAUAGAGCAAGUGUGCACCAAAAGAUAUCAUUAUUUUGGGUAAUAAAGCCAGUAUUGCACAGAACUGCAUUUUCAGAACAUAAAUUCAAUCCAGUUUCUUCCAAAUAUCAUUUAUCUUCAUGCUUCUCUCUCUUUAUCUCUGUAAACCUGUGCUGCAGUGCCUUGCCGUCUGCAGUCUCUCAUGGCAGAAAAAGAGACUGAUGGAGGUCUCGUUCUCGUCGCAGGCCGCUGCUCUCACACAGGGAGCUGCUCCGUCCCUCUGACAGGCCGUGAUGAAGUGGCCUUCGGGACGGCUGACCACUGCUCGCGAUGGAUGGGACAGUGUGGUGUGUUUGGCUGAGGCACCUGCGCCUUGUCAGCCGUGUGUCAGUCCCCCGCUGAGGUGUUUCCUGGUCCCAUCGCCAUCACUCUUCUUCACAUUAUAAAGAUUUCUAAGGGGUUUUUUUUAGCACAAAUGAUCAGAUGAAAAUGUGAACUGCAAGUCUCUACAAUCACAUCACUCAUGUCAGGAAGUGCUUUGCCACAAUGAGGAUGAUCUACCUCCUCCAGAUAUCGGCCAUCUGGAUUGUCUCUGAGUUUUCUGUUGGAUUUUCAACAUGUUUUUUAUGUAGCUCUGGUUUGACAGACUAUGUAAAAAAUAUGAUUUUUUGUUACAGGUCAUCAGAUGGUUUAUCUACUUCAAACAGACCAACAGAUUAGAUCAUGUUUGUUUGCUGUAAUACCAAUAGGCUACUGGGUAAUCCUUAAUCUUCAGGACCUCAGGCAGCACUGCAUUAAAAACCAACAUGACUCUGGAUCUCUGGAUUGGUAGUCUCUGCACAGACUCAAAUCACCUCCAAAAACUAUUCUCGGCGAACAGUUUAUCACUGAAUUCACAAAUGCAGGUUAAAACUGUACAAUGCAGAUAGGAACCAUCCAUCCAUGAUUUGGAUAUGAUCUAGAAAUAGUGGCAGCUUUUCUGAGCCCAUUUAAGAUGGGCUGAGGGAAAGUGGAAAACUUGCCCAUUGUCUCAGACAUCAAAACUUGAUAUUUGUUUUGGAAACCAUGGAUGACAUUUCAACAUGUCACCCAGCCAGUGUUGCCAGAUGGGAAAUAAAGAAUUAUCCUACCAGGGACUCAAAAUUAUUAUAUUUUGGGGAAAAAUAUCAUACACCCUUCAUAAUCAAAAUAACAAUCUGACAGUUGCGUGAUAGUCACAUGUAAUCACUCUGUUUAGUGUCCUAUAGGCACUCACGAUUACACUAAUGCGUUCCCUUUAAACAAAUGACAGGUGGGAACUAAUCAACUUGUCCUCACACGAGUAUUCGGCUCCUGUUAAUCACCGUCCUCUUCAGUGGUGCUCGUUUUUCUCAACUUACUUCCCAACUGAGCAUGAUUGACAGCCAAUCAUGCUUGUUGUUUGGAGACAAACGUUUCUCAAACUACAACUGGAUGGGAACGUCACAUAGUAAAAGAUGCCUUCAGGGUUCGCAAAUAAAAAACUGAAAAAUCAAGUGUCUGGCAGACUGAGACAGUCCUAUCGCACCACACGUCCACGAAACUGUCAAAUUAUCAUACAUUUAGCCUUUUUUCUGGGUUAUUGAUGAAACAUCGUAUAGACUUAUACUUGUAAAAUUAUGUUGUUACAUUUCAGCAAGAUGAUGCCAAACCACAAACUACCUGUAUUACAACAGCGCAGCGCCGUAGUAGAAGAGUCCUGCUGCUAAACUGACCUUUACAUUUUUAAAAACAUGUUGCAGACACACUUUUUUGUUUUUUUUAAAGCAUAUUUAAGGAUCAUAAUUAUGUGUCUAUCUCAUUAUUUGUAACUUUGUGUUUGGUAUAAAGACAUUGUCAAACCUUACAAAUGUUUGUUGGCCCUCAAGCUUAACAAUACCCCACCCCACCCAAAAAAAAAAAAAAGAACAAACAGAGUAUGCCUCUUACAUGCUAAUAAUUCAACAUUCCCACUGGCUCAGAUUAAUUUUGACAACAGAACAAGUAAUCAGUGUUAAUCUACAUGUAGUGCUGUUGCCGCUGGGGUUUAAGAAAAGCUUGAAGACAAGCAACUGUCACCAUGUGGGCAAUUUCCAGAAACAUGCAGCUUUGUCGGAACAAAACUGCCAAUGGUUAUUCAUCUUAACAAGCUCUUAACUCACAGCAAAGCCACUGUAAUGCCUCCUCUCAUCCUCACAGGUCAUUAUUAUUUUAAUCAGUAUUGAAACAACCAAGUAAACAAACACUUCAUCCGUUUAGAUGGAAACAGUAGCAGCGGCGGCGCUGCUCAGAAUUCAGAUCUGUGAAAUGCUAAUCUCUUUUCAUGGUCCAGGCCUCCUUGCUUUUGUCCUCGGAGGGACUCCCACUGAGAUUCGUGACUUGAUUUGAAUACCAGGCACAGAGUUGGCACCUCACUGCAGAGGGAGCCCUCUGAAGAUGGAGCUGGAGCGCAGAGAUGGGGGAAGACCUUCAGUGUGUCACGGCAAGGUUUCUACUUUGAAACGCUGUCACUUCAAGGGGACUCUUUGCACAGGAGUGUCUUCAAAUGGUAAAUUCAGGUUACAUAUGAAGGGUUUAAUCUCAUAUAUGCCAUGAAAUGAGGCCAUAAUGCAACAGGGAGCAGAACUCUGUUUGUAUAAAGUUUCAAAACAAAAUGGUACACAUGUAAAUUUCCAAGAGGGCCAUUUAAGAUCUACUUUCAAACGUUCACUGAACCUAUUAAAGAGUGAUAAACACUGGAUUGGGAUUUUAAAAGUCAACAUCAGCCAAGCAGAGUCCCUCUUUCUGAAACUUCUUCUUGAACUCAAAACUCUUCAAAACUCAAACUUUGUCUUUGAGGUAUUUCAGAUAUUGAGAUUUUUUUUAUCAGGUAGCCUUAAGAAACCACAUAAAUGCCUUUUAUCAGUCAGUACAUUUACAUGUAUUUCAAAAAAGUUUAUUUAUUGUCUUAGUCUGACUAAAAUCACACUAAAUCGAACCUUUGCUACUUGAAUUAACAAACCUAGAUAAUGUGGUUGUGGAUAAUGUGCAAACAAUUUAACCUGAACCUAGUGUGCUGCAGCUUCUCUUUGCUUAACGGUGAAAUAAAGUCUGACGAUAUGUAUCUUUUUAAAAUUAUUUUCAACACUUCACCUGUCAAGAAAGAGGAAAAAUCUUUUUUAAAAAAAGAGGAAAUAAAAGUUGUUUUUGCAAAAAAAAGUGUUUUUUUUAACGCACAAUUAAAUUGGAAUAAAAACAUACUUUUUGUUCGUCUAUUUUUGCUUAUUGCUACAGAGAAAUCAAAAGCGGUGUAAAUCUCCAGCCUUAUAAUUUGAUGUGUUGUUGAGUGUUGCAGGAUAAAGUGAUCCCUCUGCAUGUGUCAGCAGCCUGUCUGCACUCUGAAGAGCUCGAGCUGUGAUGGAAAGCUUCUGUUGUCUGCCGCGUCUUUGUCGCCGUGUCAAAACGCCAGAGGGGGUCCUCCCCGUUUAUUCAUGUUUUACCUUAUCGAAACAGAGUUUACAGCACUGCUCCCCAAUCUAAAACAUAAUUGAUGUUUACCUCCUGUUUGACUGAAACUGACAGCCUGGAAUUUGUUCACCCUCUGCACAGUGACAAAGAUCAAAUCUGAAGCACUUCAACAUCUGGAGAUAAACUUUUAUAGUUUGUAAAAAUACAGAGGAAAGUCUCCUGCCUUUGGCAUAAAAUGGACAAGAGCGCUCUUAAAGAAGCUUUUCUGGUUUAUGUCUGUCCUUUUUUUCCCCUUUUUUUUAAAUCACUUACACUUAAAUCAAAUUCAUGGGCUUUUGCUUGGUGAUUUUGAGCAACCAUGGUUCGUUUUAAAAGACAAUGCUUUACUAAAUUUAACUUAUGAUGUUGUCAUGUGGAGACAGAUAUUGUUUGUGUCAAAUAUCUUCGAUUUAAGAUGGACCAGUUCUAGGCCUUAACUGAUAGGGUUAGCAGUCUAAAUUUUCUAAAUAUAACAUUUAGAUAUUGAUAAUUGAUACUUUAAAUUAACUGAAGUUAGGUAAGAAAUCAGAAAUAUGUAUAAAAGUUUUCAACCAAUAGUAAUGCUGCGACAGGCGAAAUAAAAGCAAUUUCUAAAGGUAAGUUAUUCACUUUUCCAUUUUCUUUUUUUGACUUUUUUAGAUACUCAAAGACUAAAUGGGGCAAAUUUGGAUAAAUUCAGUCUUUGAGUAUCUAUUUUAGGUUUAGGUUCAAGCUUGGUACCUAUUCUGAGUUUAGGGUUAGAGUUAAGUUUCCCCUUGAUGGUGAAUUUGAUUUUUUUAUAGGAGGACAAUGAAUUAACACAAAUAUAACUGGUUCACAACUGUGAAAAUUAUAAACAAACUGAGUAUAACCAUAUGACACUUCAAAGUCGGAUCAAGUUCAAAGUUAUUUCUGCUGUUUUAGUUCAAAGAGAUCUUUUCAAACUCCGAUCAAAUAAAGUUUUUAACUCUCCUUCUGCUCUGGCAGCGAGUUCACCAACAAUCCAAAGGUAAUGGCACAUUGAAGGUGAGCUCUUACAUCUAGAAAAGCUGUCCUGGGGUUUCGCUCACCGUCUUGCAUCCUGAGUCCAGUGUGUUUUCUGUCGUCUGUUAGCUCAAAAUAUGACCCCUAAAUCAGGUACCUCAGAGCUUUUUAACUUUAGGACAGUAGGCUGACCAAAAUGUGAAUCCUUCUAUCUAGUCCAAUCUGAUAAUCGGAGAAAAAUGCAUUAUAAACUGUUUAAAGAAAAACUUUUUACACCUGUUGAUGGUUUUAUUUAGUUUCAAGGUCAUGGAGAGUCAUCAGUUUUAUUCUAAGGCCGUUUCGUGAUCAGUUAAAACCCCAGCUAUCGAUUAUUGCAGCUUUAAAUAUUCAUCUUUUAACACCUCGGUGUUAUACUUAUGUAAUGCUCCCACCUCACUGGGUACACAUUCUCAGCUGAUGCAUCAUAAAGCUCGCUUUAAAAAUAGUUUAUGGUGUAAGUGUCAUCUAUGUUUGCGCUGUUGUGGGAUGCAGGUGAUGACUGAGCAAACCCGUUGUAGGUGUGCAGCAAUGACGUGAAAAACAAACUUGGUGGGACUCCAAGAGAAGCUCCCAAAAAAGCUGAAUGGGUUUCCUGCCAGUGAUUCAGGCCUGCAGCCAGAUGAGUUUUUUUACAGGCUGAAUAAGAAGCAGCAGCGUUCAAAUCCUGAUCUGUUAUUGACUUGAGUGUCCCAGUGAGUCUUUUCUAUCUGUUGAAUAUCUGUGAGUUGGGGGCACGCUCCAGCAGGAAGAGGGCGGAUACCGUCUCUCAAAGCCGGCUGUCAGCCCGCCUUAUUGAUGCCGUGCCACCACCGGCUCCCUGACUGAUUGCUGGAUGAACAUCCUCCUGAUUGAUGUGACAGACAAUCGGCCUCCUGUCCCAGCCCCCCUGCCCUCCCACAAUCCCCUUCUGCGAUUUUACUCAGCAGAAUCCACGAGCAUGAGCUGGUGGAGUGUUUUCACCGCAACAACCCCUGAGACCUACUUCAAAACUUUCUGGCGUUGGGGUUUAUCCAGCAGGCUGGCUGGCAUCAGCAGCAGAUUGAUGCAGUUGGUCCUGUGAUGAAAAGGGACUUUU